AUUGAACGCUGGCGGCAUGCCUUACACAUGCAAGUCGAACGGUAACGGGCCUUCGGGUGCCGACGAGUGGCGAACGGGUGAGUAAUACAUCGGAACGUGCCCGAUCGUGGGGGAUAACGAGGCGAAAGCUUUGCUAAUACCGCAUACGAUCUACGGAUGAAAGCCGGGGACCGCAAGGCCUUGCGCGGACGGAGCGGCCGAUGGCAGUUUAGGUAGGUGGUGGGAGAAAAGCUUACCAAGCCGAAGAUCUGGAGCUGGUCUGAGAGGAUGAUCAGCCACACUGGGACUGAGACACGGCCCAGACUCCUACGGGAGGCAGCAGUGGGGAAUUUUGGACAAUGGGCGCAAGCCUGAUCCAGCCAGGCCGCGUGCAGGAUGAAGGCCUUCGGGUUGUAAACUGCUUUUGUACGGAACGAAAAGCCUUCUUUUAAUACAGGAGGGUCAUGACGGUACCGUAAGAAUAAGCACCGGCUAACUACGUG
Molecule: ribosomal RNA, 482 nt
Filed under: uncultured bacterium
Lineage: Bacteria
Description: partial 16S ribosomal RNA
Rfam family: Bacterial small subunit ribosomal RNA
Source: RNAcentral